UUAUCCUACGGGGCGCAGCAGUGGGGAAUAUUGCACAAUGGGCGAAAGCCUGAUGCAGCAACGCCGCGUGAAGGAAGAAGGGUUUCGGCUCGUAAACUUCUAUCAACAGGGACGAAAGAAAUGACGGCACCUGAAUAAGAAGCCCCGGCUAACUACGUGCCAGCAGCCGGGGUAAUACGUAGGGGGCAAGCGUUAUCCGGAAUUACUGGGUGUAAAGGGUGAGUAGGCGGCAUGGUAAGCCAGAUGGGAAAGCCUUGGG
This 259-nucleotide ribosomal RNA is filed under the name uncultured bacterium. Its description in RNAcentral is "partial 16S ribosomal RNA". It matches the Rfam family "Bacterial small subunit ribosomal RNA", at positions 334 to 607 of the family's 1533-position model. The record is from RNAcentral.